This 361-nucleotide RNase P RNA is filed under the name bovine gut metagenome. RNAcentral describes it as "Bacterial RNase P class A". It matches the Rfam family "Bacterial RNase P class A", at positions 37 to 358 of the family's 367-position model. Rfam says of the family: Ribonuclease P (RNase P) is a ubiquitous endoribonuclease, found in archaea, bacteria and eukarya as well as chloroplasts and mitochondria. Its best characterised activity is the generation of mature 5'-ends of tRNAs by cleaving the 5'-leader elements of precursor-tRNAs. Cellular RNase Ps are ribonucleoproteins. The record is from RNAcentral.
CGUCGGGAGGAAAGUCCGGGCAGCUCGAGCCACCAUGCUUCCUAACGGGAAGAGGCCGCAAGGGCAACCGAGCGGUCAUAGAAAGCGCCACAGAAAAGAUACCGCUUACUGUGCUAGUGCGCCUCCAAAACGGUUGGCCUUCUGCACAAAGCAAGGGUGAAAACGCGGGGUAAGAGCCCACGACGGCGUUGGCGACAGCGCCGAUGGCAAGCCUCAUGGGCUGAAAGACCAUGUAUACCGGUAUGCCUUAGGGCAGCGGGCUGGCUCGCCCGCACUAUCGGGGGGUAGGUUGAUAGAGACCGUCGGCGACGGCGGCCCUAGAUUAAUGAUAGGACACGACAGAACCCGGCUUACAGGCUUC